UACGUAGGGGGCAAGCGUUGUCCGGAUUUAUUGGGCGUAAAGAGCGUGUAGGCGGCCAUGCAGGUCAGCUGUGAAAACUCGAGGCUCAACCUCGAGACGUCGGUUGAAACCGUAUGGCUAGAGUCCGGAAGAGGAGAGUGGAAUUCCCGGUGUAGCGGUGAAAUGCGCAGAUAUCGGGAAGAACACCCAUGGCGAAGGCAGCUCUCUGGGACGGUACUGACGCUGAGACGCGAAAGCGUGGGGAGCAAACAGG
This 253-nucleotide ribosomal RNA is filed under the name uncultured bacterium. Its description in RNAcentral is "partial 16S ribosomal RNA". It matches the Rfam family "Bacterial small subunit ribosomal RNA", at positions 524 to 776 of the family's 1533-position model. The record is from RNAcentral.